GAAAGGCGAAACGUAAUGUGAAUCGCAACUAACAGUGAAUCAUUGAAUCUUUGAACGCAGGCCGCAGCUUAUAACAUCACUUUGUGUUGUUGUAAGGUAUCCACGUAUGAGUGUCAGCCCAGUAUCCUUUAUUGGUUCAAGAAGAUGUUCAUUUAUUUUAAAUGAUACAAAAUCUUGGAUACAUAUUUUAUGGUAAAACAUAAUUAUGUCUGGCCUCAUAUGUGGAAGAUUACCCGCUGGAUUUAAGC
This 248-nucleotide unclassified non-coding RNA is filed under the name plant metagenome. RNAcentral's name for it is "partial contains 5.8S ribosomal RNA, internal transcribed spacer 2, and large subunit ribosomal RNA". The stretch from base 1 to 116 matches the Rfam family "5.8S ribosomal RNA", at positions 50 to 154 of the family's 154-position model. The record is from RNAcentral.